CAGUCGCCGCGGUAAUACGAAGGGGGCUAGCGUUGUUCGGAAUUACUGGGCGUAAAGCGCACGUAGGCGGAUAUUUAAGUCAGGGGUGAAAUCCCGCAGCUCAACUGCGGAACUGCCUUUGAUACUGGGUAUCUUGAGUAUGGAAGAGGUUAGUGGAAUUGCGAGUGUAGAGGUGAAAUUUGUAGAUAUUCGCAGGAACACCAGUGGCGAAGGCGGCUAACUGGUCCAUAACUGACGCUGAGGUGCGAAAGCGUGGGGAGCAAACAGGAUUAGAUACCCGCGUAGUCCCUGUCUCUUAUAC
This 301-nucleotide ribosomal RNA is filed under the name uncultured bacterium. Its description in RNAcentral is "partial 16S ribosomal RNA". It matches the Rfam family "Bacterial small subunit ribosomal RNA", at positions 509 to 807 of the family's 1533-position model. The record is from RNAcentral.